AUAAAUUCCUAAAUUUUCUACCACCCCGAGGAAGAUAUCUUUCUUAAGCAAACUUUCCCCCUUCUCCUUUUCAUCGACAAAUUUCCGGGACUGAAAUGGGACUAGUGUUUCUGAUUGAUGCUGCUGAAAGUGAAAAUUAACAGUAACAUCUGCUAAUUCUUCUUUUUGUGGAAGCUUCCGAGAUGAGACAAACUGAAAAUCUCAUGGAUUUGAACAAUAUUGGCGAGGCAGAGGAUAGGAUUAGUCAAUUACCUGACUCACUUCUUCAUCACAUCCUCUCUUUCCUUGAUAUCGAGCAUGUUGCUCGUUCUUCUUUACUAUCUAAAAGAUGGAAAUACAUAUGGACAUCUAUCCCCACUCUUGUUUUUCCAUCCUAUCAUUCCAAACCGCCCUCAUCGUCUGAAACCAAUAAGUUCAUGGAAUUUGUUGACAGAACAUUGCAUCUUCAUGAUACGUCAUCAAAUAUACAAAAAUUCCUGUCUCAAAACGAAUGACCACAUGAGUGCAUCUCGGGUUCAUUCAUGGAUCGAAAAUUUAACAAGGCGUAAAGUCGAGGAGCUCGAUCUCUGGUUAGAUCAAGAAAAACCUUUUUUUGUUCCUCUAUCUCUUUUUACAUGCAAGUCACUGAUUAAAUUGGAGCUAGUGGGGAACGA
Long non-coding RNA from Papaver somniferum (opium poppy), 653 nucleotides. RefSeq lists it as uncharacterized. The record is from RefSeq and is a predicted model, not a curated record. The transcript has 3 exons. Lineage: Eukaryota; Viridiplantae; Streptophyta; Magnoliopsida; Ranunculales; Papaveraceae.